This 280-nucleotide long non-coding RNA is filed under the name Trifolium pratense (red clover). Its description in RNAcentral is "long non-coding RNA (TPRA_LNC001531)". The record is from RNAcentral. Lineage: Eukaryota; Viridiplantae; Streptophyta; Magnoliopsida; Fabales; Fabaceae.
UAGAGUAUUAGUUUAAGUGUAUUAUUAAUGAUUUUAAUUUAUUCGGUAUAUAUAUUAGUACAAAUAUUAAUAAAAAUAUUAGUUUAGAGUUUAUUAUCGAUGAUUGUAAGUCACUCGGUACGUAUAUUAGUUCAAGUGCAAGUGAAAAUAUUAGUUCGUAAACUAUGUAUAAACUAGUAAGCUAUAAGCUCAUGAAAAAAUGUUACCAAUUUUUUUUUUCAAUACAAACUUAUAAAUUAUAAGCCAUAAAUUUUUUAGCGGCCCACCCAAUAAAUUUUUC